AAAAUUAGGAUCAAAACAUAUAAAGAUUUAUUUUUAUUUUUUUUUCAAUAAGAUUCCAAUUUUAAUCAAUAACACAAUUUGUUUAGACUUAGUUUGAUAUUGAAGUCUAUCUGACGCUAUUAGAUAAAAUGGAGUUGGAGUAAAAGCAUUAAGUGAUAUAUUUCUACGUUCUCCGAUGGGACCGCACAAAACAUAUCGUAAUUAACUUAUUGCGAUAUGUGAAAAGGAAUAUUACGUAUGAAAACAAACAAAGUAUUUUUUCAUCGUAUUUUCUCAUCGCACGUAACACAACUUCUCUGCAAUUCCAAACGAAGUCUUACUAUGUUAUUAUUUACAAAAAUAAAUAAAAUAUUUUUAUUAUAUUUUUUGAAUGAUAUGUAAUAUAUUUUGUGAAACAAAUUGUGAUAUGAGUAAUCAGAAAAAC
Molecule: long non-coding RNA, 424 nt
Filed under: Ananas comosus (pineapple)
Lineage: Eukaryota; Viridiplantae; Streptophyta; Magnoliopsida; Poales; Bromeliaceae
Description: long non-coding RNA (ACOM_LNC002708)
Source: RNAcentral